Molecule: ribosomal RNA, 253 nt
Filed under: uncultured bacterium
Lineage: Bacteria
Description: partial 16S ribosomal RNA
Rfam family: Bacterial small subunit ribosomal RNA
Source: RNAcentral
UACGGAGGAUGCAAGCGUUAUCCGGAAUUAUUGGGCGUAAAGCGUCCGCAGGUGGUAGUUCAAGUCUGCUGUCAAAGCGUGGAGCUUAACUCCAUACAGGCAGUGGAAACUGAAUGACUAGAGUUCGGUAGGGGUAGCGGGAAUUCCCAGUGUAGCGGUGAAAUGCGUAGAUAUUGGGAAGAACACAGGCGGCGAAAGCGCGCUACUGGGCCGAGACUGACACUGAGGGACGAAAGCUAGGGGAGCGAAAGGG